RNAcentral lists this ribosomal RNA (264 nucleotides) under uncultured bacterium. RNAcentral's name for it is "partial 16S ribosomal RNA". It matches the Rfam family "Bacterial small subunit ribosomal RNA", at positions 334 to 590 of the family's 1533-position model. The record is from RNAcentral.
UGGGCCUACGGGAGGCAGCAGUAGGGAAUCUUCCACAAUGGACGAAAGUCUGAUGGAGCAACGCCGCGUGAGUGAAGAAGGGUUUCGGCUCGUAAAGCUCUGUUAGUAGUGAAGAAAGAUAGAGGUAGUAACUGGCCUUUAUUUGACGGUAAUUACUUAGAAAGUCACGGCUAACUACGUGCCAGCAGCCGCGGUAAUACGUAGGUGACAAGCGUUGUCCGGAUUUAUUGGGCGUAAAGCGAGUGCAGGCGGUUCAAUAAGUCU